UGGGGAAUAUUGCACAAUGGGCGAAAGCCUGAUGCAGCGACGCCGCGUGCGGGAUGAAGGCCUUCGGGUUGUAAACCGCUUUUGAUUGGGAGCAAGCGAGAGUGAGUGUACCUUUCGAAUAAGCACCGGCUAACUACGUGCCAGCAGCCGCGGUAAUACGUAGGUGGCGAGCGUUGUCCGGAAUUACUGGGUGUAAAGGGUGCGUAGGCGGAUUGGCAAGUUGGAUGUGAAAUCUCCGUGCUUAACGCGGAGGUUGCAUUCAAAACUGUUGAUCUUGAGUGAGGCAGAGGCAGGCGGAAUUCCCGGUGUAGCGGUGAAAUGCGUAGAGAUCGGGAGGAACACCAGUGGCGAAGGCGGCCUGCUGGGCCUUAACUGACGCUGAGGCACGAAAGCAUGGGUAGCAAACGGGAUUAGAUACCCCGGUAGUCCUGGCCGUAAACGAUGGGUACUAGGUGUAGGAGGUAUCGACCCCUUCUGUGCCGGAGUUAACGCAAUAAGUAUCCCGCCUGGGGAGUACGGCCGCAAGGCUG
RNAcentral lists this ribosomal RNA (530 nucleotides) under uncultured bacterium. RNAcentral's name for it is "bacterial SSU rRNA". It matches the Rfam family "Bacterial small subunit ribosomal RNA", at positions 355 to 896 of the family's 1533-position model. The record is from RNAcentral.